AUGGCUCAGGAUGAACGCUAGCGACAGGCUAACACAUGCAAGUCGAGGGGCAGCAUAAAAGUAGCAAUACUUGGUGGCGACCGGCGCACGGGUGAGUAACGCGUAUGCAACCUACCUAUCAGAGGGGAAUAACCCGGCGAAAGUCGGACUAAUACCGCAUAAAACAGGGACACCGCAUGGUGAUAUUUGUUAAAGAAAUUCGCUGAUAGAUGGGCAUGCGUUCCAUUAGGUAGUUGGUGAGGUAACGGCUCACCAAGCCGACGAUGGAUAGGGGAACUGAGAGGUUGGUCCCCCACACUGGUACUGAGACACGGACCAGACUCCUACGGGAGGCAGCAGUGAGGAAUAUUGGUCAAUGGGCGAGAGCCUGAACCAGCCAAGUCGCGUGAAGGAAGAAGGAUCUAUGGUUCGUAAACUUCUUUUGCAGGGGAAUAAAGUGCAGGACGUGUCCUGUUUUGUAUGUACCCUGAGAAUAAGGAUCGGCUAACUCCGUGCCAGCCGCCGC
RNAcentral lists this ribosomal RNA (505 nucleotides) under uncultured bacterium. RNAcentral describes it as "bacterial SSU rRNA". It matches the Rfam family "Bacterial small subunit ribosomal RNA", at positions 19 to 518 of the family's 1533-position model. The record is from RNAcentral.